RNAcentral lists this transfer RNA (74 nucleotides) under Bacteriophage sp. RNAcentral's name for it is "tRNA-Met". It matches the Rfam family "tRNA". From Rfam's summary of the family: Transfer RNA (tRNA) molecules are approximately 80 nucleotides in length. Their secondary structure includes four short double-helical elements and three loops (D, anti-codon, and T loops). The record is from RNAcentral.
GGACCUAUAGCUCAGUCGGUCAGAGCAGCAGACUCAUAAUCUGAAGGUCGGGGGUUCAAGGCCCUCUAGGUCCA